GUGUGGAAACCCUAGCUCUUUGAAUCGGAUUCAAAAUCGAUUCAAAUCUUACUUCUUGAUCUAACUAAAUUGAGCCAUGGGCUAAUUUGGAUUUAGAUCUGAGUAUGGCAGCCAUUAGAUGAUGCUACAUAGACUUGUGGGGCGUCAUAACCAAGAGUCCAAGCUUGGUUGGACUCUUGGCACGCAAAGAAAGAUGGUGUGCACAUUUUGGCAUGA
This 216-nucleotide long non-coding RNA is filed under the name Elaeis guineensis (African oil palm). RNAcentral describes it as "long non-coding RNA (EGUI_LNC052869)". Lineage: Eukaryota; Viridiplantae; Streptophyta; Magnoliopsida; Arecales; Arecaceae. The record is from RNAcentral.